RNAcentral lists this ribosomal RNA (790 nucleotides) under uncultured Flavisolibacter sp. RNAcentral describes it as "bacterial SSU rRNA". It matches the Rfam family "Bacterial small subunit ribosomal RNA", at positions 8 to 796 of the family's 1533-position model. Lineage: Bacteria; Pseudomonadati; Bacteroidota; Chitinophagia; Chitinophagales; Chitinophagaceae. The record is from RNAcentral.
AGAGUUUGAUCCUGGCUCAGGACGAACGUUGGCGGCGUGGAUUAGGCAUGCAAGUCGAAUGCGAACGGGGAGCAAUCCCCAAGUAGCAUGGCGAAAGGGGCAGUAAUACCUAGGCAACCUACCCUCAGGCUCGGGAUAGCCGGCGGAAACGCCGAGUAAUACCGGAAGUCGUUUAGGAGCGGCAUCGUUCCUUUAUGAAAGGUCCGCCGCCUGAGGAGGGGCUUAGGUCCCAUCAGCUUGUUGGUGAGGUAACGGCUCACCAAGGCUCGGACGGGUAGGGGGUGUGAGAGCAUGACCCCCGCCACUGGCACUGAGACACGGGCCCGACUCCUACGGGAGGCAGCAGUAAGGAAUAUUGGGCAAUGGAGGCAACUCUGACCCAGCCAUGCCGCGUGGAGGAUGAAGGCCCUCUGGGUUGUAAACUUCUUUUACCUGGGACGAAACCACCCUUUUCUAAGGGUGUUGACGGUACCAGGGGAAUAAGCACCGGCUAACUCCGUGCCAGCAGCCGCGGUAAUACGGAGGGUGCAAGCGUUAUCCGGAUUCACUGGGUUUAAAGGGUGCGUAGGCGGGCAGGUAAGUCCGUGGUGAAAUCUCCGAGCUUAACUCGGAAACUGCCAUGGAUACUAUUUGUCUUGAAUACUGUGAAGGUGAGCGGAAUAUGUCAUGUAGCGGUGAAAUGCUUAGAUAUGACAUAGAACACCAAUUGCGAAGGCAGCUCACUGCGCAGUGAUUGACGCUGAGGCACGAAAGCGUGGGGAUCAAACAGGAUUAGAUACCCCGGUAGUCC